This 341-nucleotide ribosomal RNA is filed under the name Podosphaera xanthii. Its description in RNAcentral is "partial small subunit ribosomal RNA". It matches the Rfam family "Eukaryotic small subunit ribosomal RNA", at positions 111 to 455 of the family's 1831-position model. Lineage: Eukaryota; Fungi; Ascomycota; Leotiomycetes; Helotiales; Erysiphaceae. The record is from RNAcentral.
UAUUGUUUAUUUGAUAGUACCUUACUACUUGGAUAACCGGGGUAAUUCUAGAGCUAAUACAUGCUAAAAGCCCCGACUUCGGAGGGGGGGUAUUUUUUAAAUAAAAAACCAAGGCCCUUUGGGGCUCCUUGGGGAUUCACAAUAACUUAACGAAUCCCAUGGCCUUGGGCCGGCAAUGGUUCAUUCAAAUUUCUGCCCUAUCACCUUUCAAUGGUAGGGUAUUGGACUACCAUGGUUUCAACGGGUAACGGGGAAUUAGGGUUCAAUUCCGGAAAGGGAGCCGGAAAACCGGCUACCACAUCCAAGGAAGGCAGCAGGCGCCCAAAUUACCCAUUCCCGAC